Molecule: RNA transcript, 1482 nt
Organism: Scylla paramamosain (green mud crab)
Lineage: Eukaryota; Metazoa; Arthropoda; Malacostraca; Decapoda; Portunidae
Exons: 4
Source: RefSeq, a predicted model, not a curated record
CACACACACACACACACACACACACACACACACACACACACACACACACACACACACACACACACACACACACACACACACACACACACACACACACACACACACACACACACACACACACACACACACACACACACACACACACACACACACACACACACACACACACACACACACACACACACACACACACACACACACACACACACACACAGUGUUUUCCUGUUAUGCAUUGAUUGUAUUCAAGCAGUUGGUUCAAAGAGUGUAUACAAGCAGUUUCCUAGAGCAUUCUCAUGUGAGUGUGUGUGGUGUCACAUGAGGGAAGCAGGUGUGCUGUAGGCUGACAGCCGUUUUGGGUUACCUCAGAGCAACACACGCCCCACAUCCCACCAUGGCAUCCAAUCCACAUCACCUCGUGAAAGAAUUUCUUGAGGCAAUUCAACACCACCCAACAGCGGAGCUGGUCACUGCUGUAAGGGAAGGAGACGAGGCAGGGGUGAGGUCAGCACUUGACAGGGGUGCCCGGCCCGAGGUCACCGUCCCCACUGAUGCUGGGGGGUCAUGGAGUCUGCUGACUCAGGCUGCCAGCAAGGGCCACGAGCACCUGCUGUCGCUCUUACUGCAGGCAGGGUUAAGCAUAGAAGGUGGAGGCACCACUGACAGGACACCGCUGAUGAUGGCUGCCCAGAAUGGCCACGCCCAUACAGUGAAGGCGCUGCUGGACCUCCGUGGUAACCCUCUGGCCAUGGAUAGUGACGGAAGGACAGCCCUACACUUUGCUUCACGGCAGGGCCACCAGCAGUGUGUGGCGGCCCUCUUGCCCGUCACCCCUCCCACUCCCGCACACCUCGAGGCACACACCCCGGUGCACGCCGCCAGUUAUGGUGGCCACGUGGAGGUACUGGAGCAGCUGGCAGGUGCUGGCUGGCCCCUCACCGCCAAGAACAGUUAUGGCGACACACCCAUGCACUCUGCUGCGGCCAAGGGUAGAGUGACAUGUGUGCAGUGGCUGGUGCAGCGAGGCGGUGACACAAGCAUACAAAAUAAUGCUGGACACACCCCGCUUGACAAGGUAGGCAGUGGGGAGGGGCAGGAGGGUGGACAUAUGCAAACUGUCUUACGAUCUGGUUCAAAGUUUAACAGAUAGAGAUAUUAAAGCAACAUGCGUUUGGUUGACCAGGUUUAUUAUAUUUUUAGUUGUAGUAGUAGUAGUAGUAGUACUAGUAGUAGUAGUAUUAGCAGUAGUAGAAGUAGUAGUAAUAGUAGUACAAGCAGUAGUAGUAGUAGUAGUAGUAGUAGUAGUUUUAGUUAUAUUAUUAUUAUUAUUAGUAGUAGUAGUAGUAGUAGUAGUAGUAAAAGCAGUAGCAGAAGUAGUAUUAGAAGCAGUAGUAGUAGUAGUAGUAGCAGUAGUAGUAGUAGUAGAACUAGUAGUAAUGGCAGAAAAGAAGCACCAGCCAAGGAGCAAUGUCGUCGCAUGGAUGA